GACGAACGCUGGCGGCGUGCCUAAUACAUGCAAGUAGAACGCUGAAGGAGGAGCUUGCUUCUCUGGAUGAGUUGCGAACGGGUGAGUAACGCGUAGGUAACCUGCCUGGUAGCGGGGGAUAACUAUUGGAAACGAUAGCUAAUACCGCAUAAUAGUAGAUGUUGCAUGACAUUCGCUUAAAAGGUGCAAUUGCAUCACUACCAGAUGGACCUGCGUUGUAUUAGCUAGUUGGUGGGGUAACGGCUCACCAAGGCGACGAUACAUAGCCGACCUGAGAGGGGGAUCGGCCACCCUGGGACUGAGACACGGCCCAGGCUCCUACGGGGGGCAGCAGUAGGGAAUCUUCGGCAAUAGACGGAAGUCUGACCGAGCAACGCCGCGGGAGUGAAGAAGGUUCUCGGAUCGUAAAGAUCUGUUGUAAGAGAAGAACGAGUGUGAGAGUGGAAAGUUCACACUGUGACGGUAUCUUACCAGAAAGGGACGGCUAACUACGUG
Molecule: ribosomal RNA, 495 nt
Filed under: uncultured bacterium
Lineage: Bacteria
Description: partial 16S ribosomal RNA
Rfam family: Bacterial small subunit ribosomal RNA
Source: RNAcentral